GCUAAGGUCUGCUACAUAAGCAAUUGGGCUCAUGCCCCAAAAACGGUAAACCUCUACCCCCUAGCA
Molecule: transfer RNA, 66 nt
Filed under: Ptyctolaemus collicristatus
Lineage: Eukaryota; Metazoa; Chordata; Lepidosauria; Squamata; Agamidae
Description: tRNA-Met
Source: RNAcentral